UACAGAGGUCUCAAGCGUUGUUCGGAAUACUGGGCGUAAAGGCUCGUAGGCGGCCAACUAAGUCGGAUGUGAAAUCCCCAGGCUCAACCUGGGAACUGCAUCCGAUACUGGAUGGCUUGAAUCCGGGAGAGGGAUGCAGAAUUCCAGGUGUAGCGGUGAAAUGCGUAGAUAUCUGGAGGAAUACCGGUGGCGAAGGCGGCAGUCCUGGACCGGCAUUGCACGCGGAGGAGCGAAAGCUAGGGGAGCAAACGGG
This 253-nucleotide ribosomal RNA is filed under the name uncultured bacterium. Its description in RNAcentral is "partial 16S ribosomal RNA". It matches the Rfam family "Bacterial small subunit ribosomal RNA", at positions 524 to 776 of the family's 1533-position model. The record is from RNAcentral.